Molecule: unclassified non-coding RNA, 482 nt
Filed under: Hevea brasiliensis (rubber tree)
Lineage: Eukaryota; Viridiplantae; Streptophyta; Magnoliopsida; Malpighiales; Euphorbiaceae
Source: RNAcentral
UACUCGAAAGGAGAUUGUGCCUGUGCAUUGUCUGCCAGUAAACUUGUGGUAUUUCUGCUUGAGAGCAACAGCGAUUUUGAUGCUUCAAUCCUUCCAACACCUCGUUAAAAUUUUAUACAAUACCAAGAAAGAACAAUAAAUAGACAAAUAUUCCAACAAGAGAAAAUUACAUGAAGCUCCGGGACAAAAAUACACUCGACCAAAGGAAACCAAAACAUGGACACUCAGGUGUCAUGGAUUGAAUUUUCAGAAGAUGAAGGUACCAGAAGACAGACUGGAAUUUAGUAGCAGGGAAAGAAAGUGAGAGACAAUAUCAAAGAGCCAUAUGAGAACAUGCCCUUGACCACAACCAAAUUGAGCAGCACUCACAAGGCCUUGCCCCCUUUUGCAAUAUCAUCUUUGAUUGCUCUUUGAAUCCAUUUCACAAUAAGCCACUGAAUCCCAAGAAUGAGAGGAAUCAACACCUUCCCCCUGUCAUUUGA